AAGUAGGAUAAUCUAAGAAAGGAUCUAGGGUUCAUGCCCCUAAAGUGUUUUAUAACUCCUAUUUA
This 65-nucleotide transfer RNA is filed under the name Perna viridis (Asian green mussel). RNAcentral describes it as "tRNA-Met". The record is from RNAcentral. Lineage: Eukaryota; Metazoa; Mollusca; Bivalvia; Mytilida; Mytilidae.